GUAAAAUAACAGCGUAACCGCAAUAACACCAUGUGUCCUGUGAGGAAAAACAAGGUGAACAUGUGAAUCCAGUAAAAGAGGAGGCCAAAAAAGCAUCGAAGCAAUGUCAGAUCCCUGGGAUGUCCAGUCGCUCAACCUUUACACUGUGAUCACCUUGAUGGUACCUUGGAGGUAAAACUCAGGGCGGAGAGACGGACGGGCGAUGGCGAUUAAACAUGCAUGAGGGACCGGUGCUGUAAGGCAGGGCUUGGUGUGAAAGCUGUCAACUGCUCAAGUUUCACCUUGGUGUAAGAAUAGCUGCGUGAGUCGAAGAUCAAAUGGGAGCGACGACAUCGGGUCGCGCAGAACCUUCUUGAGUCGAGAGUAGCCCUCCGGAGCCCAGAGGAUACAGAAGAGAAGCGCAGGGAUCGCAGACACAGGAGCUUUCCGGAGACGCGCCGGUGCAGAGCCAUGGAUUUCUGUCAGGAAGAGGCUGUGAGACGUCUGCAGUGGGAAAACAGGUUGAUUCUCCAGGAUCUGCUCCGCAGGGGGCUUCAGAGUCCCUUUCAAUGCCGAAAAGAGGGCAGGACGCCCAAGGCCAG
Long non-coding RNA from Scleropages formosus (Asian bonytongue), 581 nucleotides. NCBI's taxonomy places the organism in Eukaryota, Metazoa, Chordata, Actinopteri, Osteoglossiformes, Osteoglossidae. The record is from Ensembl.